CGUACACUCCUGCGGGAGGCAGCAGUGGGGAAUAUUGCACAAUGGGCGCAAGCCUGAUGCAGCGACGCCGCGUGGGGGAUGAAGGCCUUCGGGUUGUAAACUCCUUUCGCGAGGGACGAAGCUUUUUUGUGACGGUACCUAGAUAAGAAGCACCGGCUAACUACGUGCCAGCAGCCGCGGUAAUACGUAGGGUGCGAGCGUUGUCCGGAAUUACUGGGCGUAAAGGGCUCGUAGGUGGUUUGUCGCGUCGUCUGUGAAAUUCUGGGGCUUAACUCCGGGCGUGCAGGCGAUACGGGCAUAACUGGAGUGCUGUAGGAGUAACUGGAAUUCCUGGUGUAGCGGUGAAAUGCUCAGAUAUCAGGAGGAACACCGAUGGCGAAGGCAGGUUACUGGGCAGUUACUGACGCUGAGGAGCGAAAGCAUGGGUAGCGAACAGGAUUAGAUACCCGUGUAGUCCC
This 458-nucleotide ribosomal RNA is filed under the name uncultured organism. Its description in RNAcentral is "partial 16S ribosomal RNA". It matches the Rfam family "Bacterial small subunit ribosomal RNA", at positions 330 to 797 of the family's 1533-position model. The record is from RNAcentral.